GCGCCAUUGGUGAAGUGGUUAACACAUCAGGUUGUGGUCCUGACAUUCGAGGGUUCGAUCCCCUUAUGGCGCCCCA
This 76-nucleotide transfer RNA is filed under the name Williamsoniiplasma somnilux. RNAcentral's name for it is "Entomoplasma somnilux tRNA-His". It matches the Rfam family "tRNA". From Rfam's summary of the family: Transfer RNA (tRNA) molecules are approximately 80 nucleotides in length. Their secondary structure includes four short double-helical elements and three loops (D, anti-codon, and T loops). The record is from RNAcentral. Lineage: Bacteria; Bacillati; Mycoplasmatota; Mollicutes; Entomoplasmatales.